UACGGGGGGGGUAAGCGUUGUUCGGAAUUACUGGGCGUAAAGGGCUCGUAGGCGGCCAACUAAGUCAGACGUGAAAUCCCUCAGCUUAACCGGGGAACUGCGUCUGAUACUGGAUGGCUUGGAUUUGGGAGAGGGAUGCGGAAUUCCAGGUGUAGCGGUGAAAUGCGUAGAUAUCUGGAGGAACACCGGUGGCGAAGGCGGCAUCCUGGACCAACAUUGACGCUGAGGAGCGAAAGCCAGGGGAGCAAACGGG
RNAcentral lists this ribosomal RNA (253 nucleotides) under uncultured bacterium. RNAcentral's name for it is "partial 16S ribosomal RNA". It matches the Rfam family "Bacterial small subunit ribosomal RNA", at positions 524 to 776 of the family's 1533-position model. The record is from RNAcentral.